This is a long non-coding RNA of Lepidothrix coronata (blue-crowned manakin), 579 nucleotides long. RefSeq lists it as uncharacterized. The transcript has 3 exons. The record is from RefSeq and is a predicted model, not a curated record. NCBI's taxonomy places the organism in Eukaryota, Metazoa, Chordata, Aves, Passeriformes, Pipridae.
AGCAGGCAGAGCCUGGAGCACGGCAAGGACGGCUCUCAGACUUCCAGGAUACUCAUUUAUUGCAGAGAGCAGGUCUAAUUCCCUGCCCUGGAGAGGAAGACUCCUGCUUUAAAGAAAACUCUGCAGGGGAGGGGAGGGCAUACAAGAGAAAUUCGGAUUUCUACACCAUCCACUCUCAGGAUUGCCAGACCUCCAUGUCCAAUCACAAGGGAAGACUGGCAGCAGGUCCCUCCAGGGCUCAAGACACCAAAAGCCACAGGGAGCUCAGAGGUGCUACAGAGGCAAAAACGCAGAGCAGCCACUGGGAGCUGGGCAGGAUCAGCACCACACAAGGGUGACACUGUGACAAAUGUCCUGGUUUCACCUGAGAGCAGAGAGAGUGCCUGCUCGUGGCUCCAGCUUCCCAUGGCUCAGGCAGGAGGAACAGCAUUGCUUGGGAAUUGUGAGCACCAGACUGCACACAAACAGAGAUGUGACCAACCACCACGUGAGGGUUCUGGACACUGCAUUAGAGGAUUCCAUGUCCACUGACUGUCAGUGAUAUCCCAAGAGUUCAGCUUUGAAAUAAAACUACUGCUU